GACGAAGGUGGCAAGCGUUGCUCGGAAUCACUGGGCAUAAAGCGCGCGUAGGUGGCCUGACAAGUCGGUGGUGAAAUCCCAUGGCUCAACCAUGGAACUGCCAACGAUACUGUCGGGCUUGAGGACGGUAGGGGAGAGUGGAACUCCUGGUGUAGCGGUGAAAUGCGUAGAUAUCAGGAGGAACGCCGGUGGCGAAAGCGACUCUCUGGGCCGUUCCUGACACUGAGGCGCGAGAGCUAGGGGAGCAAACAGG
Molecule: ribosomal RNA, 253 nt
Filed under: uncultured bacterium
Lineage: Bacteria
Description: partial 16S ribosomal RNA
Rfam family: Bacterial small subunit ribosomal RNA
Source: RNAcentral